GGUUUGUUAAGUCAGAUGUGAAAGCCCGGGGCUCAACCUCGGAAUUGUCAUUUGAAACUGGCAAACUAGAGUACUGUAGAGGGGGUAGAAUUUCAGGUGUAGCGGUGAAAUGCGUAGAGAUCUGAAGGAAUACCGGUGGCGAAGGCGGCCCCCCUGGACAGAUACUGACACUCAGAUGCGAAAGCGUGGGGAGCAAACAGGAUUAGAUACCCUGGUAG
RNAcentral lists this ribosomal RNA (218 nucleotides) under uncultured bacterium. Its description in RNAcentral is "partial 16S ribosomal RNA". It matches the Rfam family "Bacterial small subunit ribosomal RNA", at positions 577 to 793 of the family's 1533-position model. The record is from RNAcentral.